GGUUAAGCGACUAAGCGUACACGGUGGAUGCCCUGGCAGUCAGAGGCGAUGAAGGGCGUGCUAAUCUGCGAUAAGCGCCGGUAAGGUGAUAUGAACCGUUAUAACCGGCGAUACCCGAAUGGGGAAACCCAGUGUGAUUCGUCACACUAUCAUUAACUGAAUCCAUAGGUUAAUGAGGCGAACCGGGGGAACUGAAACAUCUAAGUACCCCGAGGAAAAGAAAUCAACCGAGAUUCCCCCAGUAGCGGCGAGCGAACGGGGAGGAGCCCAGAGCCUGAAUCAGCAUGUGUGUUAGUGGAAGCGUCUGGAAAGGCGCGCGAUACAGGGUGACAGCCCCGUACACAAAAGCGCAUGUGCUGUGAGCUCGAUGAGUAGGGCGGGACACGUGGUAUCCUGUCUGAAUAUGGGGGGACCAUCCUCCAAGGCUAAAUACUCCUGACUGACCGAUAGUGAACCAGUACCGUGAGGGAAAGGCGAAAAGAACCCCGGCGAGGGGAGUGAAAAAGAACCUGAAACCGUGUACGUACAAGCAGUGGGAGCACAGGUUUACCUGUGUGACUGCGUACCUUUUGUAUAAUGGGUCAGCGACUUAUAUUCUGUAGCAAGGUUAACCGAAUAGGGGAGCCGGAGGGAAACCGAGUCUUAAUUGGGCGUUAAGUUGCAGGGUAUAGACCCGAAACCCGGUGAUCUAGCCAUGGGCAGGUUGAAGGUUGGGUAACACUAACUGGAGGACCGAACCGACUAAUGUUGAAAAAUUAGCGGAUGACCUGUGGCUGGGGGUGAAAGGCCAAUCAAACCGGGAGAUAGCUGGUUCUCCCCGAAAGCUAUUUAGGUAGCGCCUCGUGAAUUCAUCUCCGGGGGUAGAGCACUGUUUCGGCUAGGGGGCCAUCCCGGCUUACCAACCCGAUGCAAACUGCGAAUACCGGAGAAUGUUAUCACGGGAGACACACGGCGGGUGCUAACGUCCGUCGUGAAGAGGGAAACAACCCAGACCGCCAGCUAAGGUCCCAAAGUCAUGGUUAAGUGGGAAACGAUGUGGGAAGGCCCAGACAGCCAGGAUGUUGGCUUAGAAGCAGCCAUCAUUUAAAGAAAGCGUAAUAGCUCACUGGUCGAGUCGGCCUGCGCGGAAGAUGUAACGGGGCUAAACCAUGCACCGAAGCUGCGGCAGCGAACGUAUCACUUAAAGCGAUUCAGCGGGUUACGAUUGACGGAGCGAAGCGACGUCAAAGCGUAUACAAAGUCGAGUCGGUUUAAGGAUACGUUCGUUGGGUAGGGGAGCGUUCUGUAAGCCUGUGAAGGUGGCCUGUGAGGGUUGCUGGAGGUAUCAGAAGUGCGAAUGCUGACAUAAGUAACGAUAAAGCGGGUGAAAAGCCCGCUCGCCGGAAGACCAAGGGUUCCUGUCCAACGUUAAUCGGGGCAGGGUGAGUCGACCCCUAAGGCGAGGCCGAAAGGCGUAGUCGAUGGGAAACGGGUUAAUAUUCCCGUACUUGGUGUUACUGCG
RNAcentral lists this ribosomal RNA (1501 nucleotides) under Salmonella enterica. RNAcentral's name for it is "partial 23S ribosomal RNA". It matches the Rfam family "Bacterial large subunit ribosomal RNA", at positions 1 to 1458 of the family's 2925-position model. Lineage: Bacteria; Pseudomonadati; Pseudomonadota; Gammaproteobacteria; Enterobacterales; Enterobacteriaceae. The record is from RNAcentral.